Molecule: small RNA, 29 nt
Filed under: Bombyx mori (domestic silkworm)
Lineage: Eukaryota; Metazoa; Arthropoda; Insecta; Lepidoptera; Bombycidae
Description: ovarian small RNA-17303
Source: RNAcentral
GGACUUUCGGGUCACGACGCGAGGGUUUC